CUCAUCUUUGGGAAUAAGGAUCGUCUGAAAUGUGGCUCAGACAUUGAGGAAAUUUUUCUUGAUUAUCGUGUUGAUAGGCUUGUCGAGUGCUUUGCAUCUCUAACUGGUUGGAAGCACCGUAUAUCUUCCAUGAUUUGUUUUCUUGAGGAUUGAGUUCCUGAACACCAAAUCUAUGUGGAAAAUGAAUUGAUAAAAGCUAAACAAAGUCAAGAGGAUGAACUUCAAAAAUCAAAAGAAAGUCGAGAAAAUGAAGUUCAAAAAUCCGAACCAGCAAAGAAACACCAAAUCUAUGUGGAAAAUGAAUUGAUAAAAGCUAAACAAAGUCAAGAGGAUGAACUUCAAAAAUCAAAAGAAAGUCGAGAGAAUGAAGUUCAAAAAUCCGAACCAGUAGCUUUGCUGGAGUUUGCUAGAGACAGGUUAAGUCAUAUAGCUGUGCCUCUGAGAUCAUGUUUGUUGAAAUUCUUUACUCAUUUAGCUAGAAGUUUUGUUGGUGAUCAAAUUUUUCAAUACAUGGCACAACUCGUCUCUUUGCUGGACUCUUUGGAAACAUUGUUUUUUCAAGUCAAAUUGACAUCUGAAGAAUUGGAGAAUAUCUUUUCACAUCAGGGAACAAUUGAUUCUUCCCAAUCAUCUGUUCACGCAUCACAGUUACUAUAUACUAAAACACAGUGCCUCUCUAUUCUAAAGUCUCUCCAGUGUUCCUUGGCAAAACUUGACUUCCCUAGUGUGAUGGAUAAAACCUCUAUAAUGGAAUUCUGUUUCAAAAAUGCUUCCUUAAUAUUUUGCACAGCUUCUUCUUCAUAUAAGCUACACUCAAUGGAUAUGGAACCGGUCAAAUUGUUGGUUAUCGAUGAAGCUGCUCAAUUAAAGGAGUGUGAAUCAAUUAUACCUCUUCAGCUCCUAGGCUUGAGGCAUGCUGUUCUAGUUGGAGACGAAUGGCAAUUACCAGCGACUGUUAUCAGCAAGGUAAGCAUAAUGAUACAUCUAAG
Molecule: long non-coding RNA, 989 nt
Filed under: Olea europaea subsp. europaea
Lineage: Eukaryota; Viridiplantae; Streptophyta; Magnoliopsida; Lamiales; Oleaceae
Source: RNAcentral